This 631-nucleotide long non-coding RNA is filed under the name Helianthus annuus (common sunflower). RNAcentral's name for it is "hypothetical non coding rna". Lineage: Eukaryota; Viridiplantae; Streptophyta; Magnoliopsida; Asterales; Asteraceae. The record is from RNAcentral.
GUCUCGACUCAGAGGUUAGAUCUCCAUGGCGUGUUGCUUCCACCAUUCUAAGAAUAAUCGUUGCAACAACUCCGUUAUGGAUGUCUAUGGGAUUAUAAGAAUCGAUCUGAUUGUUAUCGUCACAAACACUCCUUCAUAAACAGAUUUACCUCCUCUCUCUCUCUGUUUCUCCUGAAUUCCCGGGAAACAUAACAUGCUUUUACAAAAUUUUAGUUAUUUGGGUUCAACUUUAUCUAGCAUUAGUUAACUUUUUGUUCUUGAUUCAUCAUGCACUCCAUGGCAUAUAUUUGACUAAAUGUCUUAAUGAAAUUUCAUACAAUUCCAGGCAUAUAUUUGUGCUUGUUUAAUGAUUCCUAAGGUAACUUGGAGCACCAAUGGAACCGAACACGCCAAUGACAAAACUAAGGAAGGCGGAAAAUGGGAAGAAUUCAUGACACCCACAACAAAACACAUGUAGACAAUGACUUUGAAGUAUCAUAUCAUCUUCAUCUUGGUUGUUUUUGUUAGUUUAUGUUUUAGAACUCGCAAGUUAUAGAUCUUUACAUUUUUUAUUUUAUUUUUUCACAUGUAUUGUUCUAUCUAAGCACAUUUCCUCCAUAUAUUGUGAGUUCAUAGAAAUUUGUAAAUUUUU